AACGAACGCUGGCGGCGUGUUUAAGACAUGCAAGUUGAACGGGGAAUCUUUGGAGCUUGCUUUGAGGAUUCCUAGUGGCGCACGGGUGAGUAACACGUGAGUAACAUGCCUCGUAGAGGGGAAUAGCCCGCCGAAAGGCGGAUUAAUACCCCAUAGUCCCGCAAGGGUAAAGGUGGCUUCGGCUGUCGCUACGAGAUUGGCUCGCGUCCUAUCAGCUUGUUGGUGAGGUAACGGCUCACCAAGGCAACGACGGGUAGCUGGUCUGAGAGGACGAUCAGUCACACUGGAACUGAGACACGGUCCAGACACCUACGGGUGGCAGCAGUCGAGAAUAAUUCACAAUGGGGGAAACCCUGAUGGUGCAACGCCGCGUGGAGGAUGAAGGCCCUAGGGUCGUAAACUCCUGUCAUUUGAGAGUAAGACCUGGUCGUUAAUAGCGGACAGGGUUGAUAGUAUCAAAAGAGGAAGGGACGGCUAACUUCG
This 483-nucleotide ribosomal RNA is filed under the name uncultured Haloferula sp. RNAcentral describes it as "bacterial SSU rRNA". It matches the Rfam family "Bacterial small subunit ribosomal RNA", at positions 29 to 505 of the family's 1533-position model. The record is from RNAcentral. Lineage: Bacteria; Pseudomonadati; Verrucomicrobiota; Verrucomicrobiia; Verrucomicrobiales; Verrucomicrobiaceae.